Molecule: non-coding RNA, 84 nt
Organism: Bombyx mori (domestic silkworm)
Lineage: Eukaryota; Metazoa; Arthropoda; Insecta; Lepidoptera; Bombycidae
Source: Rfam
UUAUCUCAUAUUUGUAUGGAAUGAGAUCGUUUGCGUACGUUUGCCGCUAGGGGCGCUGUUCCAACUGCAUACAAAAUUGGGUUA